AUGAAUUGCCUAAGUUGGAACUGCCGGGGAGGGGGGAACACCCGGACAGUUCGUGAGCUAGCGACGUUGUGUAAGUCGCGUUCCCCCAUGCUGGUGUUUUUGUGUGAAACAAGACAAAAGGAGGAGAAGAUGAAAAGGAUCCGCGCAAAACUUGGUCUGAAGGGUUUUUGUGGAGUGGAUAGCAAUGGUCUAAGUGGUGGUUUGGCACUAUAUUGGAGAGAAGAAUGUGUGGUGGAUAUUCUCAACAAGGAUGACAGGUUCAUUGAUGUAGCUAUUAGGGUUCGGGAAGGAGCGCCGGAGUGGAGAGCUACCUUUGUAUAUGGAGAACCGCGGGUGGAAAAUAGACACCUAAUGUGGACUAGGUUACGGGAUAUGAAAACUGCUAAUAAUUUGCCCUGGCUAGUUAUCGGUGACUUUAACGAAGCUAUGUGGGACUUCGAGCAUUUUUCAGUCACGCCAAGGGCGGAAGCACAGAUGGUAGCGUUCAGGGAUACGCUGGAGGUAUGUGAAUUAGUAGAUCUUGGGUUCACCGGCCUUCCCUUCACAUACGAUAACAGAAGAGGGAGGUCGGCAAAUGUCAAGGUGAGACUUGACCGAGCAGUGGCU
Molecule: ribosomal RNA, 606 nt
Filed under: Triticum aestivum (bread wheat)
Lineage: Eukaryota; Viridiplantae; Streptophyta; Magnoliopsida; Poales; Poaceae
Description: partial small subunit ribosomal RNA
Source: RNAcentral